RNAcentral lists this transfer RNA (85 nucleotides) under Fulvivirga lutimaris. RNAcentral's name for it is "tRNA-Ser". It matches the Rfam family "tRNA". Rfam says of the family: Transfer RNA (tRNA) molecules are approximately 80 nucleotides in length. Their secondary structure includes four short double-helical elements and three loops (D, anti-codon, and T loops). The record is from RNAcentral. Lineage: Bacteria; Pseudomonadati; Bacteroidota; Cytophagia; Cytophagales; Fulvivirgaceae. RNAcentral also lists the same sequence under 3 other names.
AGAGGAGUGGCAGAGUGGUCGAAUGCACUGGUCUUGAAAACCAGCGUGCCGCAAGGUACCGGGGGUUCGAAUCCCUCCUCCUCUG